GUCAUCCCAACUUUCUUCCUCUUCCACUCCCCGUUUUCCUUAUAUCACUGUCCUUUUCGAUCUUGUCCUCUCCAUACUAUUAAUAAGCCAAUCUCUGUCAGCACAGUGGCAUAAGCAUAAUCUCACUAUUUCCGUAAUGUGUAAUGUCAAACAGAGUAUAAGACUAUAAACCAGUAAAUAUUGUAUCUACAAUAGGAUGAUGUUUUCCAGAUUGAUUCCAACAACUCAAAAAUAAACUAAAAGGUAAUGAUGUAUUUCCUUGAGCUUGCCUUCAAGUUUCUCAAAUAGCUCAAAUGACUGGCAAAUAAAUAUGGCAAGAUCCAUGUAAAGGGUCAAUGUAUGUACACCUUAAUAAUAUCUAGCCUAGAAGUGUUCGUUUAAGUUUCACUGAUGCCAUAGACAUGCCAAUAGGAUGGUGUAAACAAAAUAGUUUCCUCAAAAAAGAAAAACGUCCCAGAAGAAGCUACAGUGAUUCUAGCAAACCUGCCACUCUAUCUCACCAAACUGUUUUCUUAAUUGGUUGACCUCAUCUUGAACUUGAAGAGUAAAAACAAUAUUAACUAUCUAUUGUGCUAAAAACACAUAGAAAAUAACAGAAAUAGUAUUUACUUCAAGACUACCAUGUUGUAGUUCUGUAGGAAAAUUUGCAGGAAUCAGUCUGAGGAUUGAUGCAAGAGCUUCACAUUUGCCUUUUAUUUCACACCUCGGUAUCUCUGUCAUCACUCUGCAGUUUUCAUGACAGCGGCUUCGUUGUCCCAUUCAUGCAGUUGCAUACAUCCACGAAGGAGGGAAAUAUCACAGUUGUAGAAAGAAAACGUGCGUC
This 823-nucleotide long non-coding RNA is filed under the name Triticum aestivum (bread wheat). RNAcentral's name for it is "long non-coding RNA (TAES_LNC021253)". Lineage: Eukaryota; Viridiplantae; Streptophyta; Magnoliopsida; Poales; Poaceae. The record is from RNAcentral.